RNAcentral lists this ribosomal RNA (413 nucleotides) under Bacillus infantis. RNAcentral describes it as "bacterial SSU rRNA". It matches the Rfam family "Bacterial small subunit ribosomal RNA", at positions 1 to 403 of the family's 1533-position model. The record is from RNAcentral. Lineage: Bacteria; Bacillati; Bacillota; Bacilli; Caryophanales; Bacillaceae.
UUAUAUGGAGAGUUUGAUCCUGGCUCAGGACGAACGCUGGCGGCGUGCCUAAUACAUGCAAGUCGAGCGGACGGAUGGGAGCUUGCUCCCUGAAGUCAGCGGCGGACGGGUGAGUAACACGUGGGCAACCUGCCUGUAAGACUGGGAUAACUUCGGGAAACCGGAGCUAAUACCGGAUAAUGCAUAACCUCUCAUGAGGUUAUGCUGAAAGAUGGUUUCGGCUAUCACUUACAGAUGGGCCCGCGGCGCAUUAGCUAGUUGGUGAGGUAACGGCUCACCAAGGCAACGAUGCGUAGCCGACCUGAGAGGGUGAUCGGCCACACUGGGACUGAGACACGGCCCAGACUCCUACGGGAGGCAGCAGUAGGGAAUCUUCCGCAAUGGACGAAAGUCUGACGGAGCAACGCCGCGUG